UAUGUCUGUUGUCUGCUAGUUCUGUUGUCUGCUGGCUCAGUUGUAUGCUGGCUCAUCUGCUAGCUCUGUUGUCUGCUAGCUCUGUUGUCUGCUGGCUCAGUUGUCUUCUUGCUCUGUUAUCUGCUAGCUCUGUUGUCUGCUAUGUCUGUUAUCUGCUGGCUCAGUUGUAUGCUGGCUCGUCCGCUAGCUCUGUUGUCUGCUAGGUCUCUUGUCCGCUAGCUCUGUUGUCUGCUGGCUCUGUUGUAUGCUGGCUCUGUUGUCUGUUAGGUCUCUUGUCCGCUAGCUCUGUUGUAUGCUGGCUCGUCCGCUAGCUCUGUUGUAUGCUAGCUCUGUUGUAUGCUAUGUCUGUUGUCUGCUAGUUCUGUUGUCUGCUGGCUCACUUGUAUGCUGGCUCACUUGUAUGCUAUGUUCUGUUAUCUGCUGGCUCAGUUGUAUGCUGGCUCGUCCGCUAGCUCUGUUGUCUGCUAGGUCUCUUGUCCGCUAGCUCUGUUGUCUGCUGGCUCUGUUGUAUGCUGGCUCUGUUGUCUGUUAGGUCUCUUGUCCGCUAGCUCUGUUGUAUGCUGGCUCGUCCGCUAGCUCUGUUGUAUGCUAGCUCUGUUGUAUGCUAUGUCU
Molecule: small RNA, 612 nt
Filed under: Spisula solidissima (Atlantic surf clam)
Lineage: Eukaryota; Metazoa; Mollusca; Bivalvia; Venerida; Mactridae
Description: cnRNA293
Source: RNAcentral